UAAUAAUAGGUGCAGGAAUGGUUGUGUUGUUAUGGAGUUUGCUUCCCAACUAUGUGGUUUUGGGCUCAAUUCCAUUAUAUAGUACCUUCGGUAAAUGUCAUCUGUUAUAGCCCUAGGCCAAUUAAAGCCUUGUGAGUGGAUAUGGUAGACGGAAACUGAGAGAAGCACAUUGUAUGUAUGUAAUCGUGUCUUGUCUUGACAUCGUGCAACAGUUGUAAACGAGUGUCAUCAUAACACAAGUGGUGUCCUUCAUUUCUAAUCUUUCUCGAAAAAGACCAGGACGAUAUAAUACCCUGCCUAGAAACAAGUGAGAGCUGGCGACAUGAAAGAUAUACGACCAUAGAAAAUCUUCCCCCAACUAAGACCAUGCAAACAUGGAGAAACGGGCGUAAAAAUCAUAACACUUUACAUGCACAGCUGCUAAAAACAACACAGUAAGGGUUGGGAUAAAGCAUGUCUUAGUUGAGUUAUUAAGGUUCAACUGAAGCCAAUGUCUUUAGCUUUGUUUUUGUUUAGCUCUAGAUCGGCUUUGAUGAAAAGCGUCUCAGUUAUGACCAUCCCGCUUAAUCAGGAUGUAUUAUAGGACUAUAUCAUUUAGUAUGUCGUUCUUUUACAAGACGAUAGGUUUCGAUUUAAGGAAACUGUCUGUUAUUUCUAGAAAGUCGAGUGACUCAGUAGAGGCUUCCACGUUGUGUUUUUUUUUAAGGCAUAGUUAUGAAGAUGGGACAGAAUACAUGAUCUUCGCUGGGACCCAGAGACGGGUGAAAGUUAAUACGAUUUUUUGAAACCGUUGAAUGAAUCGUAAACAGAAAAUAGAAAUAAUAUUUGUGAAGCGUUACAUUGAGCCGAGGAAGAUGACCGGAUUGUAAUGCUACGGAUGAAAUAUAGAAAAUAAAAAUGAACUGUAUGUAUGUAUGGAUGGAGAGAGAGAGUAUAUUAUACUUGGGAUUCUAUCAAAGAACGACGAAGACGCAAUAAUUGCUUGAAAAGGCCGUUGAGUGAAAGCUACUUAACAAAUUAUAUAAUUUGUUAUUGUGUCGUUGAAUAAAAGAAUAAUUGCUCUGCUGGAAAUAAGACCCAAUUUCGAUUAAGAGUAAAACAUUGAUUAACCAUU
Molecule: long non-coding RNA, 1114 nt
Organism: Octopus bimaculoides (California two-spot octopus)
Lineage: Eukaryota; Metazoa; Mollusca; Cephalopoda; Octopoda; Octopodidae
Source: RefSeq, a predicted model, not a curated record